Nannospalax galili (Upper Galilee mountains blind mole rat) is the source of this 1728-nucleotide RNA transcript. It is a transcript of the gene named bifunctional 3'-phosphoadenosine 5'-phosphosulfate synthase 1 pseudogene, with no coding region annotated. The record is from RefSeq and is a predicted model, not a curated record. NCBI's taxonomy places the organism in Eukaryota, Metazoa, Chordata, Mammalia, Rodentia, Spalacidae. The transcript has a single exon.
AUGGUGUUGAAGAUGGUGCAGAAACUUAAGAGGCAAGCCCUAAAGAAAAGUCCUUACAUCACUAGGGCCUCUGCUCCCAGAAGGGGGUACUACUCUGCUAGAGGGAAUUCUCAAGAGAAUGAUUUGGAUGGCUACAAUAUCCAUCAAGGUCUCAAUAAAAACCUUGGCUUCAGUCCUGAAGACAGAGAGGAGACUGCACCACGUCACAGAGGUUGCUAAGCUGUUUGCUGAUGCUGGUUUAGUGUGCAUCACAAGUUUUAUCACCUUAUACAUAGGAUUGAACAAAUUUGCAAGGCAAAUUCAUGAGUGUGCAAGCUUACAUUUUUUUGAGGUAUUUGUUGAUGCUCCCCUGCAUGUUUAUGAACAAAGGGAUGUCAAAGGACUCUACAAGAAAGUGCAAGCAGGAGAAAUUAAAGGUUUCACUGGGAUGGAUUCUGAGUAUGAAAAACCAGAGGCCCCUGAGUUGGUGCUGAACACUGACUCCUGUGACAUUAAUGACUGUGUCCAGCAAGUGGUGGAGUGUCUACAGGAACGGGACAUCAUCCUUGUGGAUGCCUCUUACAAAGUAAAGAACUGUAUGUGCCAGAAAAAAAACUCCAUUUGUUAAAAACCAAUGCAGAAGCAUUUCAGCACUGAAGAUAAAUAAAGUGGAUAUGCAGCGCGUGCAGGUUUUGGCAGAAGGUUGGGCGAGUCCUCUGAAUGGCUUCAUGACAGAGAGAGGGAGUACUUGCAGUGCUUUAAUUUUGAUUGCCUUCUGGAUGGGGGUGUCAUUAACUUGUCAGUGCCUAUAGUUCCGACAGCUACACACGAGGACAAAGACUGGAUAACUGCACAGCAUUUGCUCUGAUGUAUGAGGGCAGCCGUGUGGCUAUUCUCCAAAAUCCAGAUUUUUUUUGAGCACAGAAAAGAGGAGCUUUGUGCCAGACAGUGGGGAACGACAUGCAAGAACCACCCACACAUUAAGAUGGUUAUGGAACAAGGAGAUUGGCUGAUUGGAGGAGAUCUUCAAGUCCUGGACCGAAUUUACUGGAAUGAUGGUCUUGAUCAGUAUCAUCUUACUCCAACUGAACUGAAGCAGAAGUUUAAAGAUAUGAAUGCUGACUCUGUGUCUGCAUUUCAGUUGCACAACCCAGUGCACAAUGGACAUACUAUGUUAAUGCAGGACACCCACAACAGCUUCUAGAGAGGAGCUACCAGCACCCUGUUCUCCUCCUUCACCCUCUUGGUGGCUGGACAAAAGAUGAUGACGUCCCUUUGACGUGGUGUAUGAAGUAGCAUGAUGUGGUGCUGGAGGAGGAAUCUUGAAUUCGGAAACGACAGCGGUAGCCAUCUUCCCGUCUUCCAUGAUGUAUACUGGGCCAACUGAAGUCCAGUGGCACUGCAAAACACACAUGGUUGCAUGAGGCAGUUUUUGUAUUAUUGGACGAGACCCUGCUGGCAUGCCCCAUCCAGAAUCAGGGAAGGACCUGUACGAUCCGACCCAUGGUGCCAAGGUGCUGACGGUGGCCCCUCGUCCAACCACCUUGUAAAUGUUCCCUUUAGAGUUGCAAAAUACAAGAAGCAGCGAAUCGACCACUAGACUCUGAACACUGUGAAGACUCUGAAUUCAUUUUGGGAACAAGAAUGCACAAACUUGCUCGUGAAGGUCAGAAGCCCCCUGAGGGUUUCAUGGCUCCUAAAGCCUGGAGAGUGAUGACAGAAUACUACAAGUCCUUGGAGAAAGCUUAA